GACGAACGCUGGCGGCGUGCUUAACACAUGCAAGUCGAACGGAAAGGCCCUGCUUUUGUGGGGUGCUCGAGUGGCGAACGGGUGAGUAACACGUGAGUAACCUGCCCUUGACUUUGGGAUAACUUCAGGAAACUGGGGCUAAUACCGGAUAGGAGCUCCUGCUGCAUGGUGGGGGUUGGAAAGUUUCGGCGGUUGGGGAUGGACUCGCGGCUUAUCAGCUUGUUGGUGGGGUAGUGGCUUACCAAGGCUUUGACGGGUAGCCAGCCUGAGAGGGUGACCGGCCACAUUGGGACUGAGAUACGGACCAGACUCCUACGGGAGGCAGCAGUGGGGAAUAUUGCACAAUGGGCGGAAGCCUGAUGCAGCAACGCCGCGUGCGGGAUGACGGCCUUCGGGUUGUAAACCGCUUUCGCCUGUGACGAAGCGUGAGUGACGGUAAUGGGUAAAGAAGCACCGGCUAACUACGUG
Molecule: ribosomal RNA, 468 nt
Filed under: uncultured bacterium
Lineage: Bacteria
Description: partial 16S ribosomal RNA
Rfam family: Bacterial small subunit ribosomal RNA
Source: RNAcentral